UCAGGAUGAGCGCUGGCGGCGUGCUUAGCACAUGCAAGUCGAACGGAGCUUAAGAAGGAAGCUUGCUUUCAUUUAAGCUUAGUGGCGGACGGGUGAGUAACGCGUGAGCAACCUGCCCUUCAGUGGGGAAUAACACCGAGAAAUCGGUGCUAAUACCGCAUAAUGUCGGAGGACCGCAUGAUCUUCCGACCAAAGGAUUUAUUCGCUGAAGGAUGGGCUCGCGUCCGAUUAGGCAGUUGGCGGGGUAACGGCCCACCAAACCAACGAUCGGUAGCCGAACUGAGAGGUUGAUCGGCCACAUUGGGACUGAGACACGGCCCAGACUCCUACGGGAGGCAGCAGUGGGGAAUAUUGGGCAAUGGGCGAAAGCCCUGACCCAGCAACGCCGCGUGAAGGAUGAAGGUCUUCGGAUUGUAAACUUCUUUGAUUGGGGAAGAAUAAAUGACCUACCCAAAGAACAAGUCACGGCUAACUACGUGCCAGCCGCGGC
RNAcentral lists this ribosomal RNA (490 nucleotides) under uncultured bacterium. Its description in RNAcentral is "bacterial SSU rRNA". It matches the Rfam family "Bacterial small subunit ribosomal RNA", at positions 24 to 518 of the family's 1533-position model. The record is from RNAcentral.